This 473-nucleotide ribosomal RNA is filed under the name uncultured bacterium. RNAcentral describes it as "bacterial SSU rRNA". It matches the Rfam family "Bacterial small subunit ribosomal RNA", at positions 335 to 801 of the family's 1533-position model. The record is from RNAcentral.
ACUCCUACGGGAGGCAGCAGCAGGGAAUCUUCCACAAUGGGCGCAAGCCUGAUGGAGCAACACCGCGUGAGUGAAGAAGGGUUUCGGCUCGUAAAGCUCUGUUGUUAAAGAAGAACACGUAUGAGAGUAACUGUUCAUACGUUGACGGUAUUUAACCAGAAAGUCACGGCUAACUACGUGCCAGCAGCCGCGGUAAUACGUAGGUGGCAAGCGUUAUCCGGAUUUAUUGGGCGUAAAGAGAGUGCAGGCGGUUUUCUAAGUCUGAUGUGAAAGCCUUCGGCUUAACCGGAGAAGUGCAUCGGAAACUGGAUAACUUGAGUGCAGAAGAGGGUAGUGGAACUCCAUGUGUAGCGGUGGAAUGCGUAGAUAUAUGGAAGAACACCAGUGGCGAAGGCGGCUACCUGGUCUGCAACUGACGCUGAGACUCGAAAGCAUGGGUAGCGAACAGGAUUAGAUACCCUGGUAGGAUAGCG